RNAcentral lists this transfer RNA (73 nucleotides) under Mustela putorius furo (domestic ferret). It matches the Rfam family "tRNA". Rfam says of the family: Transfer RNA (tRNA) molecules are approximately 80 nucleotides in length. The record is from Rfam by way of RNAcentral. Lineage: Eukaryota; Metazoa; Chordata; Mammalia; Carnivora; Mustelidae.
GCCUGGCUGGCUCAGCCAGUAGAGCACAGGGCUUUUGAUCUUAGAGGCGUGAGUUCAAGCCCCAUGUUGGGUG